Molecule: ribosomal RNA, 503 nt
Filed under: uncultured Gammaproteobacteria bacterium
Lineage: Bacteria; Pseudomonadati; Pseudomonadota; Gammaproteobacteria
Description: partial 16S ribosomal RNA
Rfam family: Bacterial small subunit ribosomal RNA
Source: RNAcentral
GGCGCAGUCCUGAUGCAGCCAUGCCGCGUGUGUGAAGAAGGCCUUCGGGUUGUAAAGCACUUUCAGUKGGGAGGAAAGGUUAGUKUUUAAUACACKRUAGCUGUGACGUUACCSWCAGAAGAARCACCGGCUAACUYCGUKCCAGCAGCCGCGGUAAUACGGAGGGUGCGAGCSUUAAUYGGAAUUACUGGGCGUAMMGCGWGCGUAGGUGGUUAAUUAAGUCAGAUGUGAAAUCCCAGGGCUCAACCUUGGAACUGCAUUUGAAACUGGUUAAUUAGAGUUUUGUAGAGGGUGGUAGAAUUUCAGGUGUAGCGGUGAAAUGCGUAGAGAUUUGAAGGAAUACCAGUGGCGAAGGCGGCCCCCUGGACUAAGACUGACCCUGAGGCGAGAAAGCGUGGGGAGCAAACCGGAUUAGAUACCCCGGUAGUCCACUCCGUAAACGAUGUGUAUUAGAAGUUUGUGGCUAUAUGCUGUGAGUUCAAAGCUAACGCAUUAAGUAGACC